RNAcentral lists this unclassified non-coding RNA (224 nucleotides) under uncultured bacterium. Its description in RNAcentral is "contains 16S-23S intergenic spacer region". It matches the Rfam family "Bacterial small subunit ribosomal RNA", at positions 980 to 1196 of the family's 1533-position model. The record is from RNAcentral.
UACCCUUGACAUGCCAGGAACCCUCCAGAGAUGGAGGGGUGCCCGAAAGGGAACCUGGACACAGGUGCUGCAUGGCUGUCGUCAGCUCGUGUCGUGAGAUGUUGGGUUAAGUCCCGCAACGAGCGCAACCCUUGUCCUGUGUUGCCAGCGCGUAAUGGCGGGGACUCGCAGGAGACUGCCGGGGUCAACUCGGAGGAAGGUGGGGAUGACGUUUACGUGCACUU